CUAGCCGCGGUAAUACGUAGGGUGCGAGCGUUAAUCGGAAUUACUGGGCGUAUAGGGCGUGUAGGCGGCCUGGGGCGUCCCAUGUGAAAGGCCACGGCUCAACCGUGGAGGAGCGUGGGAUACGCUCAGGCUAGAGGGUGGGAGAGGGUGGUGGAAUUCCCGGAGUAGCGGUGAAAUGCGCAGAUACCGGGAGGAACGCCGAUGGCGAAGGCAGCCACCUGGUCCACUUCUGACGCUGAGGCGCGAAAGCGUGGGGAGCAAACCGGAUUAGAUACCCGCGUAGUCCCUGUCUCUUAUACAC
RNAcentral lists this ribosomal RNA (301 nucleotides) under uncultured bacterium. RNAcentral's name for it is "partial 16S ribosomal RNA". It matches the Rfam family "Bacterial small subunit ribosomal RNA", at positions 511 to 809 of the family's 1533-position model. The record is from RNAcentral.